GGCCUCCAAGCUGAGAAGACAUUUGCUGGGAAGAAGAUGAGGCAACAGGAACCCCAUGGAAGGGAGGGGUGGAGCGGAGGCAAGCGCCACAGAAGAAACAUCCCAGGAAGCAGAAAGCAGCUUGGGAAGCCCUAGUGAAGGCAAAGGCUAGCUGCCUGGAGAACUGAAGACUGGAGCCAAGAUUUAAGGAUGAAGGAGUUCAAAGACAAGGGGACUCAGAGCAACCAGAGCCACUGGUUUCAAGAGGAGCCAAGCAUAGUGCAGACAGUAGUGGGACUGAAGAACUGCUGCUGUCUUGUUUCCUGCAGCCUUCGGGCGUCAGAUUCCUUUCUGGCUCUGGAGAAGGUCUGAAUGCCAAGGAUGGACUGUGACCAUCUGGUACUUUGGAGGAGCUGCCGUUGGAUCGUGACGACAGCACUGGGCUAGGAAUCAGGAGUCCCAUUCCAGUUCUUGCCUGGAUUCCUGGCUGUCCCCAGUUGGUUACUUGGUCUCUUUGGGCCUUGGUUUUCAGCUCUGGAAUUGGCACUAGAU
This is a long non-coding RNA of Mus musculus (house mouse), 531 nucleotides long. RefSeq annotates it as predicted gene, 33204. The transcript has 3 exons. The record is from RefSeq and is a predicted model, not a curated record. NCBI's taxonomy places the organism in Eukaryota, Metazoa, Chordata, Mammalia, Rodentia, Muridae.